CAGUAGCCGCGGGAAUACGAGGGGGGCAAGCGUUGUUCGGAAUUAUUGGGCGUAAAGGGUGCGUAGGCGGUUUGACAAGUCUUGUGUGAAAUCUCUGGGCUCAACCCAGAGUCCGCACGGGAAACUGUCGGGCUAGAGGAUGGGAGAGGUGAGUGGAAUUUCCAGUGUAGCGGUGAAAUGCGUAGAUAUCGGAAGGAACACCUGUGGCGAAAGCGGCUCACUGGACAAUAACUGACGCUGAUGCACGAAAGCUAGGGGAGCAAACAGGAUUAGAUACCCCGGUAGUCCCUGUCUCUUAUAC
RNAcentral lists this ribosomal RNA (301 nucleotides) under uncultured bacterium. RNAcentral's name for it is "partial 16S ribosomal RNA". It matches the Rfam family "Bacterial small subunit ribosomal RNA", at positions 509 to 807 of the family's 1533-position model. The record is from RNAcentral.